UAUAAUCGAUUGCAUUGGUUCCAUUUUUCCCAGCAUACAUUUCGGGGCAAUUUCAUUUGGAGAGUGCGCGUGGGUUUGUCGUGGUGGGAGUUUUUGUAAAAAUUUGCCUACACUGUCCACACAGCAGACGCGUCGGUUUCAGGCAUUACACAAGUCCAAGAUGAUCAUUCCAAUCCGGUGCUUCACGUGUGGGAAGGUGAUAGGGAACAAGUGGGAGUGGUACCUGGGACUUCUACAGGCUGACUACACAGAAGGUGAUGCCCUGGAUGCUCUGGGACUGAAGAGAUACUGCUGUAGGAGGAUGUUGCUUUCACAUGUGGACCUCAUCGAGAAAUUACUCAACUACGCACCACUGGAGAAGGCAUAAGGAGUGCUGCCCAUGUUGCGAUAAACAUAAAUAGAUCAUGUACAUGUAGGUUCCAACUGAAAUGUACAGUAUAGAGUGAUAUAUAGUCGUUAUAAGGCAGCUCAACAUAGAGGCUAUCGAUAGAUUUGUUGUUGUCUGUUGAAGUUCUUUGGAAGAAGAGGACACAAGAAGCCCAGAUGUUUCCACCAGUCUUUGUCAGGAAAUUUGCAUCCAUGUAUUUUGCUUUUCGCCAUGUGCUUGUAGUACUAAGUUGUACAAACAUCAUUUAGUCGUUACGUCUAUCUUUAUGAAGUUCACUCGCAUUUUUAUGGUGAAAAUUUAUUGUUACAGACCAUAACUGGACUUUGCACCACAGGAAUGAUGCCAACUUUUUCUCUGUUGAAUAUUUCGAGUAUAGAUUUGCUACUUUAAUGUAGAUUAUGUGGAUCCCAUGGUAAUAGUUACAGGUACAGGUAGUGCCUAGAAGGCUUUAGUCAUACUUUGUAAAUACAAUAUUAUAGUCAGAGUCUUCAUCAUUCCAUGCUAUGAAUAGGUAAUAAGUGUGAUUGCAUAAGCCACGGCCACCUCAGCUUCUUAUUUCAGUUAUGAUUCUUUAACAUAAACAAGUACAUGUAUCACCAGAUGAAUGAUGCAAAAUGUUUCAUCUCUAGAAUUCAGCAUAUACGUAAACAUACAUGGUACAGCAUUGGUAGGGGUACAAUGAGAUUGCUGAAUUGGUCCAGGUGAUGUUGGUGACCCCAAAAUCUGACCCUUUACAAGGAAAAGACUUGAGUGACCAUCUUUGCAUGAGACAGAGCCUUUUUGAGACAUGCCCCUAGCUCACUUAUAAGAUUUUGCAACAUGACUAUAAAGAUACAUACAU
Molecule: long non-coding RNA, 1229 nt
Organism: Branchiostoma belcheri (Belcher's lancelet)
Lineage: Eukaryota; Metazoa; Chordata; Leptocardii; Amphioxiformes; Branchiostomatidae
Exons: 3
Source: RefSeq, a predicted model, not a curated record